Non-coding RNA from Gossypium arboreum, 146 nucleotides. The record is from Rfam. Lineage: Eukaryota; Viridiplantae; Streptophyta; Magnoliopsida; Malvales; Malvaceae.
UAUUAAAAAUUUCAAUCUAUUUCUACUGUUAAAAACUGGCAUGGCAAACAUAAUAACCAGAAAGUUACAUGUAGCGUGCCACAUGUACCUCAUUCUAACAUACUGGGACCUGUUUUUAACAAUAAAAAUAGAUAGAAUUUUUAACA